GACGAACGCUGGCGGCGUGCUUAACACAUGCAAGUCGAACGGAAAGGCCCUGCUUUUGUGGGGUGCUCGAGUGGCGAACGGGUGAGUAACACGUGAGUAACCUGCCCUUGACUUUGGGAUAACUUCAGGAAACUGGGGCUAAUACCGGAUAGGAGCUCCUGCUGCAUGGUGGGGGUUGGAAAGUUUCGGCGGUUGGGGAUGGACUCGCGGCUUAUCAGUUUGUUGGUGGGGUAGUGGCUUACCAAGGCUUUGACGGGUAGCCGGCCUGAGAGGGUGACCGGCCACAUUGGGACUGAGAUACGGCCCAGACUCCUACGGGAGGCAGCAGUGGGGAAUAUUGCACAAUGGGCGGAAGCCUGAUGCAGCAGCGCCGCGCGGGAUGACGGCCUUCGGGUUGUAAACCGCUUUCGCCUGUGACGAAGCGUGAGUGACGGUAAUGGGUAAAGAAGCACCGGCUAACUACGUGCCAGCAGCCGCGGUGAUACGUAGGGUGCGAGCGUUGUCCGGAUUUAUUGGGCGUAAAGGGCUCGUAGGUGGUUGAUCGCGUCGGAAGUGUAAUCUUGGGGCUUAACCCUGAGCGUGCUUUCGAUACGGGUUGACUUGAGGAAGGUAGGGGAGAAUGGAAUUCCUGGUGGAGCGGUGGAAUGCGCAGAUAUCAGGAGGAACACCAGUGGCGAAGGCGGUUCUCUGGGCCUUUCCUGACGCUGAGGAGCGAAAACGUGGGGAGCGAACAGGCUUAGAUACCCUGGUAGUCCACGCUGUAAACGGUGGGUACUAGGUGUGGGGUCCAUUCCACGGGUUCCGUGCCGUAGCUAACGCUUUAAGUACCCCGCCUGGGGAGUACGGCCGCAAGGCUAAAACUCAAAGGAAUUGACGGGGCCCCGCACAAGCGGCGGAGCAUGCGGAUUAAUUCGAUGCAACGCGUAGAACCUUACCUGGGUUUGACAUGGAUCGGGAGUGCUCAGAGAUGGGUGUGCCUCUUUUGGGGUCGGUUCACAGGUGGUGCAUGGCUGUCGUCAGCUCGUGUCGUGAGAUGUUGGGUUAAGUCCCGCAACGAGCGCAACCCUUGUUCACUGUUGCCAGCACGUUAUGGUGGGGACUCAGUGGAGACCGCCGGGGUCAACUCGGAGGAAGGUGGGGAUGACGUCAAGUCAUCAUGCCCCUUAUGUCCAGGGCUUCACGCAUGCUACAAUGGCUGGUACAGAGAGUGGCGAGCCUGUGAGGGUGAGCGAAUCUCGGAAAGCCGGUCUCAGUUCGGAUUGGGGUCUGCAACUCGACCUCAUGAAGUCGGAGUCGCUAGUAAUCGCAGAUCAGCAACGCUGCGGUGAAUACGUUCCCGGG
Molecule: ribosomal RNA, 1341 nt
Filed under: uncultured bacterium
Lineage: Bacteria
Description: 16S ribosomal RNA
Rfam family: Bacterial small subunit ribosomal RNA
Source: RNAcentral